Molecule: non-coding RNA, 97 nt
Organism: Podarcis lilfordi (Lilford's wall lizard)
Lineage: Eukaryota; Metazoa; Chordata; Lepidosauria; Squamata; Lacertidae
Source: the annotation of a GenBank genome assembly
GAGCCAGCUCAGCCCAGCGGUUCCAUCGACCAAAGCAUUAGUUAGAUCUCCUACUCUCCUCCAGUGGUUUGACACCAGCGGGCGCUGCCUGGCUUUA